This 63-nucleotide transfer RNA is filed under the name Tettigades lacertosa. RNAcentral describes it as "tRNA-Phe". Lineage: Eukaryota; Metazoa; Arthropoda; Insecta; Hemiptera; Cicadidae. The record is from RNAcentral.
AUUUAAGUAGCUUAAAUUAGAGCACAAUAUUGAAGAUAUUGAGGUAAUAUUCAUUCUUAAAUA